This 435-nucleotide long non-coding RNA is filed under the name Mus caroli (Ryukyu mouse). RNAcentral describes it as "predicted gene 17134 (MGP_CAROLIEiJ_G0002523.1)". The record is from RNAcentral. Lineage: Eukaryota; Metazoa; Chordata; Mammalia; Rodentia; Muridae.
GCAAGACACAGGUGUUUAUUGAAUCCAGGCCCAGCCUGGCCUACAGCUCAGAAUGAAGGGCUCAGGGAAGACAGAGGUUAUAAAACUGCUUUAAUGGAAAGCCCCCCCUCCCCCCAAUACACCAUCUGGGAUGGGGUAGAUGUGGCCAGGGCUGGCCCCAAGACAAUACUGAGCCUGUAGUCUGUUACCAAAAUAUACAUCUGUCACCAUAAAAAACUGCUGCACCGCCUCAGCCCCACAGGUAUAAAAUCAUAAAUAUUUACACUCUUCCACGCCUUUCACAGAACCAGGGUGCAGGGAACCCCUCCCAUAGAAACAGGCUAGGAUGGAGGCGGGCAGAAAACAAAACUUUGGUCCAAAAUUUUGAAGGUAGAAACCCACAAGUCUCAGAGCUUUUUUUCCAGCCCUGGCCUGGGCCCACCUGCAAGUUGGUCA